UCCGUGAUGGAUUUGAAUUAAAAUUUGUGGAGGGGUGGGGUGUGGCACAAUGCACAAUCCAUUCGAUUUUGGUGGCGAUCCGGAUCAUGAUCCGGUUUAGGGGAAUUUUUUUUAAUAACUCCAGUCAGCCUGUGUAUUAACACCAUAGGCUUUAGGACAUGCGCAGUGAAACUGAUGACGCUUUCAUGACGCUUCACCCUGCCUCUUUCCUCCUUCCUUCAGAGAGAGGGACAGAGCGAGAGAGCGGGGAGUGGAGAGAGGGGGGUGGACACCUGUGGAUUCGGCGUUUUUUAACAUUAAACACUUGGAGAUUGUUGGAAAGAGUAACGACGACGGUUUAGAUUACAGUUCAUCACCUGAAUCGUCUGAAGUCAACCUGAGCUGCAGCUCAGAGCAGAAAAACAGAACAAAGACGCCCCCUACUGACCUUGAAGCAGCAGGACGAACUCCAGCAGCUGAUCUGAGGUCUGUUUCAGCUUCGAGCAGGAUCACCCUGAUGGAGACACCAGCAUCAGAGAAAAACAACGUUUUCU
Sebastes umbrosus (honeycomb rockfish) is the source of this 533-nucleotide long non-coding RNA. RefSeq lists it as uncharacterized. Lineage: Eukaryota; Metazoa; Chordata; Actinopteri; Perciformes; Sebastidae. The record is from RefSeq and is a predicted model, not a curated record. The transcript has 3 exons.